RNAcentral lists this ribosomal RNA (414 nucleotides) under uncultured Rhodocyclaceae bacterium. RNAcentral's name for it is "bacterial SSU rRNA". It matches the Rfam family "Bacterial small subunit ribosomal RNA", at positions 238 to 644 of the family's 1533-position model. The record is from RNAcentral. Lineage: Bacteria; Pseudomonadati; Pseudomonadota; Betaproteobacteria; Rhodocyclales; Rhodocyclaceae.
GGAUUAGCUAGUUGGUGGGGUAAAGGCUCACCAAGGCGACGAUCCGUAGCGGGUCUGAGAGGAUGAUCCGCCACACUGGGACUGAGACACGGCCCAGACUCCUACGGGAGGCAGCAGUGGGGAAUUUUGGACAAUGGGCGCAAGCCUGAUCCAGCCAUGCCGCGUGAGUGAAGAAGGCCUUCGGGUUGUAAAGCUCUUUCGGCCGGGAAGAAAUCGCACUCUCUAACAUAGGGUGUGGAUGACGGUACCGGACUAAGAAGCACCGGCUAACUACGUGCCAGCAGCCGCGGUAAUACGUAGGGUGCGAGCGUUAAUCGGAAUUACUGGGCGUAAAGCGUGCGCAGGCGGUUUUGUAAGACAGAUGUGAAAUCCCCGGGCUUAACCUGGGAACUGCGUUUGAAACUACAAAGCUAG